This 371-nucleotide ribosomal RNA is filed under the name uncultured organism. Its description in RNAcentral is "partial 16S ribosomal RNA". It matches the Rfam family "Bacterial small subunit ribosomal RNA", at positions 527 to 896 of the family's 1533-position model. The record is from RNAcentral.
GUAGGUGGCAAGCGUUGUCCGGAAUUAUUGGGCGUAAAGCGCGCGCAGGCGGUCCUUUAAGUCUGAUGUGAAAGCCCACGGCUCAACCGUGGAGGGUCAUUGGAAACUGGGGGACUUGAGUACAGAAGAGGAAAGCGGAAUUCCAAGUGUAGCGGUGAAAUGCGUAGAGAUUUGGAGGAACACCAGUGGCGAAGGCGGCUUUCUGGUCUGUAACUGACGCUGAGGCGCGAAAGCGUGGGGAGCAAACAGGAUUAGAUACCCUGGUAGUCCACGCCGUAAACGAUGAGUGCUAAGUGUUAGGGGGUUUCCCGCCCCUUAGUGCUGCAGCUAACGCAUUAAGCACUCCGCUGGGGAGUACGGCCGCAAGGCUG